Molecule: small RNA, 4458 nt
Filed under: Oryza sativa Japonica Group (Japanese rice)
Lineage: Eukaryota; Viridiplantae; Streptophyta; Magnoliopsida; Poales; Poaceae
Description: sRNA Os03g0279801
Source: RNAcentral
AUGUGAAGAUCUUAAAAGGCAUACAUCCACAAAAGGGACAUUCUUUCCCAGAAAAAAAAAGGAAGUUCUUCAAAUGCUUCAGUCCUCACCUUCAACUCUUUAUUCUGAGUUUCCAAAUAUUCUAUUUUAUCCCUCAUUGUCUGCAAGAAAUAGUUAAAAUAAUUAAACAAACAUGAAACAUUUACACAGAGGUUCCAUAUAAAAUCUGAAGUAUUAUACCUUUUUCUCUGCCUCCUCAAGAGCAAACCUUUCCUGAGGAAUAUAAAUUCCAUUCUUUUCCCUUGCAGCUUUUACAUCUGAUAAUUUAGUGAUAUACACUUGAGAUCCUGUAAUAAUGUGAGUAACAAAAGGAAAACAAGAAAAUUGAAGAUAACCUUGUUUCAUUCUUUCCAUUUCCUGGUAGAGAUCCUUGAGUAUUACAGAUUUGCAAACUUUUUGGUUUGCCUGCAAGAUAGUUGAGUCCAUAAAAUGGAUAAAAAUAGUACAAUGCAUGAAAAGAAGUUAAGUAGCACCUCUGGCUUGUUUUUUAUGCUUUUAGCACGAUAAGCAUAAUCAAGUGUAACUACUGUUUCUUCUAGGCAAUGGAUGGAGGGAGAAACCGUAGCUAUUAUGCACGUUUUGGCUUUUCCACCUAAAGAUUCCCUUAGCAGUCUGGUGAGCUUACUGUCCCUGGUGAGUGUAUGAAAGAAAAUGCAUUACUGCCAGCCUCAGUUAACAGAAAUGAUUAUGAGCUUAUAAGUCUAAUACAAGCACAGCGGUAUUACCUGUAUGGCACAUGAACCGAAUGUUCCACAAGUGCAGUAAUAACACGACCCAGGGUUAACAAGCUCUUAUUCAUCUCUCCUGCUUCUCUUGCUCUACCCUAUCAGCAUGCUAGAAAUCAUGAUUUCAAAAUGGACUAACAUCCUACGUUAGUAUGACAGUAAAAUGGAAUGUGAAACAUAAAAUAUUCAGUUUCAACAACAUAGGACACAUCAAAGUUCUCAGUCAACACUAAAAGAGUGUUUUCAUUUUUAAUGUGAACAUACUAUUGAAAGCCAACAAUGAUAAUUAGAGGGCCUAUGACAUUCCUGAAUUGGAUAGAGUUCUUCAAUGCCAUUAUUCAAACAAUGCACCGGGAAUGAUUAACUAAGCUAGUAAGUGAUGACAGGACAAUUUAAUCAGAAUCACAAAUCAGUCAGCAACAGAACCGGAUACCUCUCUUGCACCUGACCGAGCAAUAUUCUCUGAUCCUGCCAAGUCUACAAGGUUCAAUCUCCCGCACUUCAGGAGUUCCUGAUUCCCUACUGUUGUUUCUUUGACAUGGAUGUAUAUAGAAAAGACAGAAUGUGAUCGGCUGCAGGUCCAGAGGUGCACAUUGUCAGUAUCCAAUUGACAACCCUAUUGGCACUGUAAGGAAAAAGGGAAGUGAACAAAUCAUGUACCUGCUUUGCUUAUUUAGUGCAGUGUCAGCAGUACGCCUCCUAGCUGACCCAUGUUCUAGAAGAUUGUAUAUCUCACUAGCACUGUAGACAACGACCUCUUCAAGGCCUCUGAUGACUGCCCCGCCUUUGCGAUCUUCCAUGAGAGAUAUUGCCCUCUUCUGUCUAUCUUCAGGGAAUCUGCUCUGGUCCUCUAAGGCCAACAGAUCUGUGAUUUCUUCAUUGUAGAGCUCCAAGAAGGUUACCUUCAUGCUAUAGUCAGCCUUUCGUUCUUCCAAAAUAUCGAAGAUAUCGCGCACUGCUCUUGGGAUGACACCAGCAGUAGCUGACAGUUCACUGGCCUAAAAGAUUAGAUGAGGCAAAUAAUUUAGUUGCUGCAUGUAACUUCUCACUUCUCACAAAGUUUCAAUUUGUACAGUACCUUCUGCCUCAUCUCUCCCUCCAUCGUAUAUGUUUUCCCAGUUCCAGUUUGCCCGAAGGCAAAUACAGUACAAUUGUAGCCCUCAAGCACAUCUUUAACGAUCGGCUUAACAGCACGAUCAUAUAUCGACCUUUGCUGAGCUUUUGGACCAAAAACCUGGGGAUAAAACAACAACGUACAUAUAACAAAGUUCAUGAGAAACAAUAUCAAUCCUCCUGUAUUCAGCAAUAUGAAAUUAUGUUAAGAUUUUACGAUGCAUAAGAUUCUGACCCUCUAGAAAUCAACCAUCAAACCACAUGGCAACUGUUUGACACUACUGCAAGCAUCGAAAAAAAUAAACCCACAUUACAAGCAGAGAAACUGAGUGGCCGGUAGUGGCGUUACCUUAUCAAAGGUGAACGUCUUGUCUGCUUGCUUGAAUAGGCUGUGCAACACAGUGACCUCCCUCUUCAAGUCAUCGCAAGAGAUGGCACUCUGCACAUUCGCUCUCUGCUCCUCCUCGCUUAGUGGCCUGAUUGCGCACCAUUUCAGACAAACGCAUCAGAGACACCAUAGCCGAGCGCAAAUGAACAGUUAACAACACAUUCUCCCACCCCGAGUAUUUAGCAGCAAUCUGUUCAGUAUUUUUCACAGCUGCCGAAUAGGAUGAACUCCCAAGUAGAAGCGGUUUGAACUCUCGGACUAGGAUUCGCCAUAUCGCCUAACGGCUAAGCGGUGGAGCAAACUCCAGAGCACCUUACCUGCACCGGAGCACAACCUGCACGUUGGCCUCGCAGUCCUUCAUCUCGCUCCCGCCGCCGCCGCCGCCGCCUCCUCCGGUUAACCCGACCCCGCUGCGGCGCGCGGAGCUCUGCGAGCCCCCGUCCGCCCAGCGCAGCUCCAGCUGGCGCCGCUCCGGCCGCGGCGUCAGGAACGGGUGCGGCGGCGGCCCCACCAACGACCUCCGGCUAGGGUUCGGCGUCUGCGCCAUGCCGCAGGUCGUUGCCGCCGCCGGCGCAGGGAGAUCGCGUGGCUUUUUUGCGGCGAUGGGGGAGUGAUUUGGUCGGCGAUUUGGGGGAGGAUUUGGGGAGAUAGAGAUGGAGUUGGCCGCCUUUUCCUCGUGCCGGAGAAAUUUGAAUUCGGGCGACUCGAUGAGUGAGAGUGAGUGGGCCCCGGUUGUACACGCGCCGGCAGAGAUUCGACACGUGGCGUCGUACGAGUGGAAGGCUUCGGGGCUUUCGGGAUGGUGGGCCAUGGCCCGAUUCAAAGCUUAAUUUAAGGCUUCCAGGGAGCGAGUUUAGUAGUCGUCGUCUUGGGCCUUCUCAUGGGCCUUGCCAGUUGGAUGAGGCCCGGUAUGGAUAAAUAAACAAAUAACCAAGGUUUGAAGGAUUAAUCUUAACCGGAAGUGGAGGAUUCUCUCAAAAAACAUUUGAAAAUGGAGAAAGUGUGGAUUUUUUUUUCUGUCAUUAUUUCCAUGAUUGAAGUAUCAAUGAAAAAAAAAUGCUACAUAUCAGUACGGUACAAUAUUAAAAUUUAGAAAUGCACAAACAGUAGAGCCAAUUGUUGCCUUAUGGAGGCUUUCGUGACAUCAUCGGAAAAUAACGGGGACAAUAAUCCCAGUCUUUCCCAGACUAUACACUGCUACAAAUUGGUAAUUCAUAUUUUUGACGCGUGUACAGUAGCAUUUAAUACUAGUACUGAACAAACAUCAUUUCUUUAUGACGAUGAGCAUUUAAUUAGGGCCCUUUUUUCAAAGCACUAAAUUGUUGUCACUGAUUACUUUGCUUAAUGCUUCUUAAAAUUCAUUUUCUUAUAUUUUUUUCUUCUAGUGUAUAAAUCAUACUACCACUUGUCCUAACCUACUAUGUAGUACUACAUCCGUUUGCCUGUCAUUUUAAACAUCUACAUAUAGUAUGUAAUGCAUAUGUUUUAUCACUGUCUUUUCUAACUAUAUGUUUAUUAUCGUAGACUAGCAAAAUGCUUAAGCUUUGCUAUGGACAGAGGAAAAAAAAUCAUGAUAUAUCAUAGCAAAAUAUAUUCUAGUCUCACUUGUUUGCUCACUUGAUUAUUGGUUAUUCACUUGUUUGACCGAAAUAUUGGACUACAUUAGAAAAUAUGAGGGGAUAAUUUGUAAAAUACUGCAAAAGCAAGAUGGCAGAUUCACUGGCACCACCAGUAGAGAUUUUUAAAGGAGUACAGCUAUUGAAAUUAUAACUAUACCGUGCUUUUUAUUAUGAUUAUAUCAAUACUAUUCCCUCAUGUCAAAUCCUAAUUAUGGUAUUAAUCAAUAAUUUAACAUUUCUAGAUUUAAGUGCACAUAUUUUAGGACAACAUGUAUUUAAGAACAGAGGUAAUAAGUAUUUGUUACGUCAGUUUCUCAAAACAUUAAAUCCCCAAAAAAAAAGGAGUUUUGAAGGGAGAGACGUCCCUCCAAAUAUUUUUUUUAAAAAAAAAUUAUAAGGGCAGCCACAAUGUGGCCAUAAGAAGAGGCCAUAAGAUUUUAUAGUGACCAUAUAUAUUGUGAAACAAAGCCAUAAGACAUUAAAUGCAAAAGAAAGCUUUAAGCUUAUGGCUUGACCACAAGCAAUAAAAUAAUAGGAUAAAAUGAAUGUGAGGAUGAAAAUUGGCAUGGCUGAU